AAAAAGAACUCGGAUGAACUGAGGGUAGGGGUGAAAGGCUAAUCAAACUUCGUGAUUGCCCGUUCUCUUCGAAAUGUCUUUAGGGACAGCGUCGGAUGGUCAGCGUUGGUGGUAGAGCACUGAAUGGACUAGGGGCCUUACCAGGUUACUGAAUCCAAUCAAACUUCGAAUGCCAACGAUCUGCAAUCCGGCAGUGAGACAGUGGGGGCUAAGCUUCAUUGUCGAGAGGGAAACAGCCCAGACGACCGGCUAAGGUCCCUAAGUUUGUGCUAAGUGGUAAAGGAUCUGGAGACGCCGAGACAACCAGGAGGUUGGCUUAGAAGCAGCCAUCCUUUAAAGAAAGCGUAAUAGCUCACUGGUCAAGCGGCUCUGGGCCGAUAAUCCAACGGGGCUUAAGCACAACACCGAAGCCGUCGACUUGACGAUCCUGCGGGAUCGUCGAUUGGUAGAAGAGCGUUGUCUAGUCAUUGAAGCUAGAUCGAAAGAACUGGUGGAGGCUAGACAACUGACCCUGCCGGCAUAAGUAGCGAGAAGAAAAGUGAGAAUCUUUUCCGCCGUAAGCCUAAGGUUUCCUGAGGAAGGUUCGUCCGCUCAGGGUAAGUCGGGACCUAACGCGAGGCCGAAAGGCGUAGCGGAUGGAUGUCCGGUUAAUAUUCCGGAACUAGCAAGAAGACGUUAUCACGAUGGGGAGACGCAGAAAGCUAUGCGGGCCAGCUGAUGGAUGUGCUGGUUGAGGUUGUAGGGGGAUUCGCCAGGCAAAUCCGGUGAGUCAUUCAACCCUGAGAGACCGAAGCGAGAGCCGAAAGGCUCAUAAAGCCGCAGACGCUACGCUGCCGAGAAAAUCCUCUAAGGAGUAGUCUUGCUACCCGUACCGCAAACCGACACAGGUAGGCGAGGAGAAAAUCCUCAGGCGCAAGUGAGAACCCUCGUUCAGGAACUCGGCAACCUAACCCCGUAACUUCGGAAGAAGGGGUGCUCCGUGGCGUGUAGGGAUUUACUCCCGAAGCGUUGUGGAGUUGCAAUAAAGAGGCCCAAGCAACUGUUUACUAAAAACACAGGACUCUGCGAAGUCGAACACGACGUAUAGGGUCUGACGCCUGCCCGGUGCCGGAAGGUCAAAGGGAGAGGUUAGCCGCAAGGCGAAGCUUCGAGCUCAAGCCCCGGUAAACGGCGGCCGUAACUAUAACGGUCCUAAGGUAGCGAAAUUCCUUGUCGGGUAAGUUCCGACCUGCACGAAUGGCGUAAUGAUUUGGGCGCUGUCUUAACGAGGGGCACUGCGAAUUUGUGGUACCGGUGAAGACGCCGGUUGCCCGUGACUAGACGAAAAGACCCCGUGCACCUUUACUGCACCUUAGUAGUGAGUGUUGCCGUCGUCUGCGCAGGAUAGGUGGGAGGCUUUGAACCCGGGUUUUCGGAUUCGGGGGAGCCAAUGGUGAGAUACCACCCUGACGAUUGCGACGCUCUAACUUCGCCCUCUUAUCGAGGGCAAGGACACUGCUAGGCGGGUAGUUUGACUGGGGCGGUCGCCUCCUAAAGUGUAACGGAGGCGCGCGAAGGUUCGCUCAGGCUGUUUGGAAAUCAGCCUUAGAGUGCAAAAGCAUAAGCGAGCUUGACUGCGAGACC
Molecule: ribosomal RNA, 1623 nt
Filed under: metagenome
Description: bacterial LSU rRNA
Rfam family: Bacterial large subunit ribosomal RNA
Source: RNAcentral